Molecule: ribosomal RNA, 665 nt
Filed under: uncultured Mycoplasma sp.
Lineage: Bacteria; Bacillati; Mycoplasmatota; Mollicutes; Mycoplasmatales; Mycoplasmataceae
Description: bacterial SSU rRNA
Rfam family: Bacterial small subunit ribosomal RNA
Source: RNAcentral
CAGCUUACUGGAUGUACACUGACGCUCAGGGACGAAAGCGUGGGGAGCAAACAGGAUUAGAUACCCUGGUAGUCCACGCCGUAAACGAUGAUCAUUAGCCGCUAGAAUAUUUAGUGGCGCAGCUAACGCAUUAAAUGAUCCGCCUGAGUAGUAUGCUCGCAAGAGUGAAACUUAAAGGAAUUGACGGGGACCCGCACAAGCGGUGGAGCAUGUGGUUUAAUUUGAAGAUACGCGUAGAACCUUACCCACUCUUGACAUCUUCCGCAAUACUAUGGAGACAUAGUGGAGGUUAACGGAAUGACAGAUGGUGCAUGGUUGUCGUCAGCUCGUGCCGUGAGGUGUUAGGUUAAGUCCUGCAACGAGCGCAACCCCUGUCUUUAGUUACUAACGGAUAAUGCCGAGGACUCUAGAGAGACUGACUGGGUAACCAGUAGGAAGGUGGGGACGACGUCAAAUCAUCAUGCCUCUUACGAGUGGGGCAACACACGUGCUACAAUGGACGGUACAAAGAGAAGCAAUAUGGUGACAUGGAGCAAACCUCAAAAAACCGUUCUCAGUUCGGAUUGAAGUCUGAAACUCGACUUCAUGAAGUUGGAAUCGCUAGUAAUCGUAGAUCAGCUACGCUACGGUGAAUACGUUCUCGGGUCUUGUACACACCGCCCGUC